UUUACAUUUCUACCCAAAAAAAAGAAAACGAUGGUUUUUUUACCAAAAACAGGGAGCCCAGGCCCAGUGAAAAAACAUGGGCUAGGUCCAUUACAAUCAUGGAUCAGGAGAAAGGCCAUAACUUGUCAUUCCUGAUUUUUGUCCUACUGCAACGAGAUAGGUCUAUGACCCUAUACUCACAGCUUCAAUCAGAGUUCCACAGAACUAAAACUUAGCUGUCACAACGCAUGCAAUGGCUGCCUAAGUGGAAAGGAAUCACUCAGAAACAUACAAAUUUCCUUCACUCACUACGUAACAUUUUUGUUAUUAUAAAGUAAAAACAAGUUAAACGUGAUUACAGGUUAAAUACAAUAGAAGACAAGAACUACAGAAUGAAUAGAACUCCCGUGCUCAUUGCUGUCUAGUUGACAUAUAGUUAGAUUAAAAUCAAUACAUAGUUUUGUUUCGUAAGUACAACUCAGAUAAUAAAAUAUUAUUUGAUAUGUUGAGAUACAAAUUUAAAUUCUUAAUAUCUCAUUUGUUUGUGUAUUUAGUGUGUGAGUUUUGCUGUUAUAGAUUCUUUAAGAAAAAUAGGAGUAGGCACUGGGCACAGUGAUGUGCAUUUGUUGGUGAUGAAUUUGUAGUUUCUCGAUUGGUGGGAAGUAGGAAGUGAAAAAUAACAUUGAAUUGAAGUAACCCGAAACAUGAAUUGACAACUGAGGUUGAUCACACCACAAUUGUUUGUUUGUUAGAAUAUAAGCAGAAAGAGAAAGAGAUAUGAAUUGAGGGCACAGCACAACCAAAAACUGCAUAGAAAUUAUAAACUAGUCCCUUCUUCUGUUCCAUAACUAAUAAUUGUAGAGGCUGUGCCUUUUUGUCCCUAGCCACAACGGUAGUAGUAAUAUUGUUUUGAGAAAUCACAUUUUCAAACACAAAUUGACAUAAAACUAUUAUUCAUUAAAUGGUGAAUAAUAUUAUUCAUUAAAUCAUGGAUAAUUAAACCAUUAUGGGUGAAAAUACCACAACUCUAUUAGUGUUAAUCUAUGCAUGAAAUUAAAAGGGUGAGAGAGAAAGAGAGUGAGGAUUAAUUCGUGCAGUGUUAGCUAUGUGGCCCUAUGAAUCUAUUCAUCAUUUCAGACCCAAGUAGGCAGUAGCUAGCUAGCUAGACAACUCACCACUCACCAAUAUUGUUCCUUUCAAAAACUUUCUUAUAACACAGCUCAGCUCAGCUCAUUAAUUCAUUGCAGCAGUGUGUAUGUAUCACUGUUGCAUGAUGAGUUAUGUCCUUAUGAUAUUCACUUCCACCUCUCCUCCCACCAACCCCCCUUUUGCUAAUUCUUCUAUAUAUUUAUAUUCUAUUAAACCAACUAAUAUUUUGUACCAUUUGUUUCUUAUUCCACUUUGGUUAUUUCUUUCUGUCUCCAAAUUCUACUUCCUCACAUUUGCCUCUCUUUGUGUUUCCUGUAACAAAAUCAUGCAAAGCUGGGAGACCAAUAUUGUUAUGAUCACAAAGGAAAAAGUGAAGCUGCCAGCAUGAUCU
Molecule: non-coding RNA, 1519 nt
Organism: Cicer arietinum (chickpea)
Lineage: Eukaryota; Viridiplantae; Streptophyta; Magnoliopsida; Fabales; Fabaceae
Source: RefSeq, a predicted model, not a curated record